Molecule: ribosomal RNA, 447 nt
Filed under: uncultured bacterium
Lineage: Bacteria
Description: partial 16S ribosomal RNA
Rfam family: Bacterial small subunit ribosomal RNA
Source: RNAcentral
AACGAACGCUGGCGGCUGGCUUAACACAUGCAAGUCGAACGCAUCGCAAGAUGAGUGGCAGACGGGUGAGUAACGCGUGGGAACAUACCCUUUUCUACGGAAUAGCUCCGGGAAACUGGAAUUAAUACCGUAUACGCCCUACGGGGGAAAGAUUUAUCGGGGAAGGAUUGGCCCGCGUUGGAUUAGCUAGUUGGUGGGGUAAAGGCCUACCAAGGCGACGAUCCAUAGCUGGUAUGAGAGGAUGAGCAGCCACAUUGGGACUGAGACACGGCCCAAAUGCUUUCGAUAGUCAGCAGUGGGGAAUAUUGGACAUUGGGCGCAAGCCUGUUCCAGCCAUGCCGCGUUAGUGAUGAAGGCCUUAGGGUUGUAAAGCUCUUUCACCGGUCAAGAUAAUGACGGUAGUCGGAGAAGAAGCCCCGGCUAACUUCGUGCCAGCAGCCGCCGUAA